CAUCAUGGAUAAGCUACCUUGCCCUUAUCCAUCCCUGAAAUGCUGUCUGAAGCACGGCAUUCCACCAUUCGGCCAAUGAAGCAUCAGAAUCUCAACUGCACAACACAGAUGCUGGAGUGGUGGACCAGCAGAGACGCAGUUAAGAAGCAGCUGAGUAACUUAUGCUGUUCAACCAUAGAUAUCUUUCAACUUGGGGAGUCAUUGAUGGAAGAAGGAUAGAACCCAAGAUGGUGCCAUUGAACAGAUACCCAUAGAAAGCCAGUGAGAUCCUGAUCCUGACCCCACUGAAGAAGAAAGCUUUGGAUCUGGUCCUAGUAUUUUGUGAGCUAAUGUCCUAAUGGA
RNAcentral lists this long non-coding RNA (342 nucleotides) under Chrysemys picta bellii (western painted turtle). RNAcentral's name for it is "lncRNA (ENSCPBG00000022492.1)". The record is from RNAcentral. Lineage: Eukaryota; Metazoa; Chordata; Testudines; Emydidae.